AAUGUAUUCGACCGUUUACUGUUUUAGUUUGCUCUGUGAAGUUUGAGCACUGUUACAAGCUGCUGCUUCUUGUGUUGUGGACUGUUGGGGAUAGCAUUAGCUUGCGUUGCUAAAGUUAGACUGUGUGUGUGUUAGCUUGGCUAGCAGCAACCCUAAUACUAAUAAAAUAAUUAAUUUACGACUGGAUAUUGUGAAUCCUCAGACUCCGUGAAGGGACAACCGUCUUGUUUUGCCAGCCACUAACAGCAGAUUAAGAAAAGAAGAGGGUUUUGGUUAAAUAAAGAAUCUGUGGCUUUCUAACAACUGUGCUUUGAUUCCAAAUAAAAAGCUGCUGAACGAUUUCUUUACGAUGUCUUUAUUCAAACACACCUUUAUAUAUUAUAACCUUUUGUCUAUUAAAUUCUAAACAUCACGUGCGUGCUAUGUGCUGUGCUUUCCAUAGGGACAAUAUGUUUCUCGGGAUCUCGAGAUAGUUCACCUAUUUUUUUUCCCCCACUAUUUUUUUGUCUUUUCAGGGGCUCCGUAUAGCAGAGAUUUUCAGUUUUUACAUUUUUGUUAGAGCUUUAGCCCUGCCUUGCAGUGAGUUUGUGUUUUAUUUGUUACCUGCUUAAAUGUAGCAGUGAGUUUGUGUUUGUGUUUAAUAAAUCAUUUCAUCUUUACUUUACUUCCUUUGUGUUCGGGUAAUGCAAAUGGUUUCUUCCCCCCUCCAUAUUCCCCUGCGACCUGGUCAGCGGAUGCAGCCAGGGAAGCAUAUAGGUUUAGUGCUAAACCGAGAGUUUUUAGUAGUGCGACGUGGUCGCAGCUGUGUGCAACAAGUGUUGUACCUAAGCUCUGUGAGAGUAAUAGUUUCCUGCUUGGUGCGGGCGUGCGUAUUACCGUUCCGCCUCCACAUCAUCUUCUCUCCUGUCAUGACUAACAUUUAAAACUCUUUCUCCUUAUUCUUACUGUAGAUGCAGUAUAGGAAUCAGAUCUCAAAGUAAUGCAUGUGCGAAGUGAUGUAAAUCAGAUCUGGGAGUCACCAAAGACUGAUAUGCUCCCAGAGCUGGGCCAACCUCCUUAUACUCAAGUUGGUGAGUGUUGUUCUUAUCAAACACGAGGAAUAUAUCCUGGAAAGAGGGUAGAGACAGCAAACUGAAUGCAUGAAGGACACAAAGUCUGCCUCACUGAGAAAUUCUGGAAUUCUAGCCAGUUCAGCUGAGCGAUGUCUUGGCUCUGGGGAAAACAAUGAGGUCAAGAAAAGACCUAAAACUCACCACUAAUCUGACAAAGGCAGAGUGAUACGCUGUUCAGGUUUGCAUAAAUUAACACAUUCAUUCUGAACAAGCUGCAUAAUUACUAUAAAUAAUUAAAAAACAGCAGCAUCUUGUAUGUGGCAGGCCACAGCAAAAGGAAAGAGAAACUUUAGAACCCAGAGGUAGAGUAUCAGGACUUUAAUCUGAGGGUUCAGGGUCCUAGAGUUUUGACAUGCUUUCCCAAUUGUCGUAGAAAAUUGUCGAUAAAAAAAGUUUAAACGCUGCUUCCAGUGCUACUGUUCUUCUUAUUCCGUGCUUGGCAUUUAAAGCUGCUAUGCCAUUUAGAGUCACUUUGACACUUUUAUUUGAGUUGUUGUUGUUUAAGGAUACAUCCAUGAGCACCACCAGACUCUUGCAGUGCUCCAGAGCCAAGUUCUUCUCACUGCCAGCCAAUGCUGAAGAAGUCAGUAAACUUGACUGGUCUGGAUGUAGAGCUCACCGAGCUGCAGUGCUUCUCAAACAGCUGUCUGAUCGAUGCAGAUGAAGGAAGAACCGUUUGAUGAGGAUACGAAAGCUGCAGGAGAAACAGAAUGGAUUCAAAAAGAAAAAAAACUAAUGGAAAAAAACACAUUUAUUCUAGCUUUGCAGUUUGUAACAUGUAUGUAAUUAAAGCUUGAUCCUGAGAUUGUGAAAAAACACAGUGGGAAGCAAACAUUUAAAAGAGUCAACUUGAGUUCCUGUUAAGGUCGACUAAGAAUCUGAUGAUUUACAUACUAAGCUAUAUGAAAGAGAUGAACCAACUGAGCCUUUAAACAUAACAGGGGUUUAACUCAUACAAAAAAGUACUAAAAGUAGAGUUGUGGUAAUUAAAGGUUUUAGCAGCUGAAUCUUGCAGCUCUGAAACAGUGAAAUAUUAAAGCUUCUCAGCAGAGUCAUACUCCCGACAAUUAAAGCAUCUGUGAGCUGUUUGGGUUUAUUGGUUGCAUGCCUGAUCUCUCCUAUGCAGCGAUAUAAUGGUUCCAUGUAGUAUUUAAUUAAACCUUGAGGUAACUGCU
Betta splendens (Siamese fighting fish) is the source of this 2287-nucleotide long non-coding RNA. RefSeq lists it as uncharacterized. The transcript has 4 exons. Lineage: Eukaryota; Metazoa; Chordata; Actinopteri; Anabantiformes; Osphronemidae. The record is from RefSeq and is a predicted model, not a curated record.